GGCUCGGUAGCUCAGCUGGGAGAGCACCUGCCUUACAAGCAGGGGGUCGGCGGUUCGAUCCCGUCCCGAGCCA
This 73-nucleotide transfer RNA is filed under the name Bacillus anthracis (anthrax bacterium). RNAcentral's name for it is "tRNA-Val". It matches the Rfam family "tRNA". Rfam says of the family: Transfer RNA (tRNA) molecules are approximately 80 nucleotides in length. Lineage: Bacteria; Bacillati; Bacillota; Bacilli; Caryophanales; Bacillaceae. The record is from RNAcentral.